UUUUGUUCACAUUUUUCAUUCCCCAAAACCUUCUCUCCCUUCUCUCCGACGAUUCUGGCAAUUUUGGUGAUUUCAACCGGUAAGUGUACCUUUACAUCACUCUUCUUCCAUCCCUCUCUUUCUCUUUCCUUCUCCAUUUUUUUUUAUCUCUCUCCAGCCCUCUCAUUCCAAGGUUUCUUCUUACAGUCAGCAACUUUCGGGCGGUGACAGCGGGAUAUCCCGGUGGCGACGACGACAACAUUGAUCUAGGUUAAUAAUUUUUUCUUCUUUUUUUAGUACCUAAUUCGCUCUCCUAAUUGGGUUCUUUAAUAUGUGCAUCCCUAAAAUUGAAUUCAACAUUGUGGCUUAGAUGUCUAUUUUUUCUAUUUAGAUUUACUCUAAUUUGAUUCUUCAUGCAUCCCUAAAAUUUAAUCUUAACCUUAUUAACAAUAUUGUGCAUUAGUUAUAAAUUUGAGAGUAAUAUGAAAGUUUAUUUGAUGAUGAUGUAUCUUAUUAAUAAUGUGCAUUAAUUAGUGAAUCUAAGAUUUACAUUUAUUAUAUAGCAUGCUUUAAAAUAGUUGAAAGCUCUACAUGAGACUUGUGUAGUUUAUACGAAAUUUAGUGGUUAUCAAAAAAUGAACUCCUAAGAUUUGUACUUAUUCAUCAAAUUAAUAAGCUUAGACAGUCAAGUGAUAUAUUUUUUAAAGUGUUUGGCACAUAUAUAACUUAUAUUAUUGAAAUCAUCCAAGUAUUACACUUAAAAAUAUAAUAAGUGAUUGGAUUAGUAACUUUGAUAAGAAUAUGACUUAUUAAUUAGUUUGUUUGAUUAGUUAGUAUUGAUAGGUUAAUUUUUGGGAGAAGGAAUCUUAACCUUUGUCGGAAAAAAUAAUAGAAGAAGAAAAAAGUGUAUCACUUCAUGCCUUAUAUAGUUUAAAUAAUUUGAGAGAUAUUUUGGAGAGAAAUCAAAGUAUGACUAUAUUAUUAAUAAGCAAGACCAGGUCCGAAAUUGGUCAAAUUUCAAUCAUCUUGUUUAAUCCAUUUUUAUUUUCACUAAUUUUUUUAUUUGACAAAUAUACUAUAUUAAUUAAAGGCAUGUGUGGACUUUAUGAACAUAUAAGAAGUUAUUUAAUGAAUUUAUAUUUUGAAAGACUUAUAUAACAUAAAAUAGGGAUAAAUGUAAGAUUUCGGGUGCUAAUGUUUAAAAGAAUAUAAUAUAUUAAUUAAAGUGUGUUGAAAAAUAAUAAGUAAAUUUAAAAAAUGAACCUUAGAAUUGGUGUAACCUAUUAAUUACUUUAAAUAAACUAAAAAUUGUAAAUAUCUUAUAAAUUUCAAGUUUUUUUGUUUGUGUAGAUGGCAUUUGCGCAUCGUAGAUGGAUGUAUAAUAGGAGUCAUCCUAAUCAUGUGGGGUUAAGGGAUGAAUUUAAAGAAGGGGUUGCUAGAUUUAUUUCUAAGGCAAGGACACUUUAUGAUUUUCGUAUUGAAGGAACGAUUAGGUGCCCUCAAGCGUGUUAAGUUAUUGGGAGAAGAUGUUGCUACAUGUCAUCUUUUUAAAAAAGGGAUUUAUGAAAAAUUAUUAUGUGUGGACUGCUCAUGGGGAGAAUUUUGAUAGCGUAAAUGAUAUUGAUUUUCAUAAUUCUUUUGGUGGUGAGGAGGGUAGUCAUGUAGUGGAGAAUAAUAUUGAAAAUUCUAGAUCCAAUGAUAUGAUGAGGGAUGCCUUUGAAAUAUUUCCGGAGGAUCAAUCUGAAUCAAAUGAUGAGGCUAGGAAGUUCUUCAAAGAGUUAGAGGAAGCUAGUUGUCCAUUGUAUGAAGGCUCAGUGCAUUCCAAGUUAUCUGUUGUUGUUCGAUUACUUCAGAUUAAGUGGGAUAAUUUUAUUUUUCAAUCGGGCAUGAAUUUUAUCAUUGGGCUUAUAAAUGAACUUAAUCCGAUUAACAUUGACCUACCCAAAGAUUUCUACACUGCAAAAAAAAUAGUUUUCAAGUUGGGUCUUUCAUCAGAGAGGAUUCAUUGCUGUGAGAAUGGUUGCAUGUUAUUUUAUAAGUAAGAUGCAUCUCUAGCGAACUAAAAAUUUUAGUAACAAGCCUCGUUAUAAGGAUGCCACAAAUGAUAAAAAGAAGAAGAUCCCGGUGAAGGCGAUGCACUACUUACCCCUUAUACCAAGGUUAAAGAGGUUGUAUGCAUCAAUGAGCUCUGCUCCUCAUAUGAGAUGUCAUUAUGAGCAUAGAAGGCCAGAUAGUUUUAUAUGUCAUCCUUCAAAUGGAGAAACAUGUAAGCAUUUCGAUAGGGUAUUCCCGGACUUUGCUAGUGAACCAAGAAAUAUUAGUUUGAGAUUAUGCGCUAAUGGAUUCACACCAUUGCAGUCUCUGCUGCAUCAUAUUCAUGUUGGUCGGUAUUUGUUACACCGUAUAAUCUUCCACCUGAGUUAUGUAUGACAAGUCCAUAUUUAUUUCUAACUUGUAUUGUUCCAGGUCCACAAAAUCCAAAAAAGUUGAUUGAUAUUAACAUGCAGCCUUUGAUUGAUGAGUUGAAGUUAUUGUGGCAUCAAGGCGUGGAAACAUAUGAUGUAUCAACUAAGCAAAACUUUAGAUUGCGUGCUGCUUUGAUGUGGACUAUAAAUAAUUUUCCUGCUUAUGAAAUGAUGUCCGGGUGGUCGACUGCUGGAGAGUUAGCUUGCCCGACUUGUACAGAAGAUACAAAGGUAUUCACUUUGAAACAUAGAGGUAAGAACACAUGGUUUGACUGCCGUCGCCGCUUCUUGCCAAUGGAUCAUGAGUUUCAGAGAAAUACUAGUGCAUUUAUGAAGAACAAAAUUGAUUAUGAGGAGCCACCAUCCAUAUUGUCUCCAGAAGAGAUUUGGAACAGAGUUAGGGAACUACCUAAGGUAACAUAGUAUCCUUUGGCUAAUAAGAUACCUGGUUAUGGUGUUACACACAGCUGGACUAAACAGAGCAUAUUCUGGGAGUUACCUUAUUGGAAGCACAAUCUUCUUCGGCAUAAUCUUGAUGUCAUGCAUAUUGAGAAGAACAUUUUUGACAACUUGUUUAAUAAUGUGAUGGAUGUCAACAACAAGACAAAGGAUAAAUUGAAGGCCAGGAUGAACUUAAAGGAAUAUUGUAGGCGAAGUGAGUGUACCUGACAUAUUUGAACAACAAGAUUCAGAAAUCCAAGGCCAGUUUUACCUUCACCUUGGAAGAAAGAAGAGAGAUUUAUGAUUGGGUUAAUAAUUUGAGUAUGUCAGAUGGGUAUACAUCAAAUCUGUCUAGGUGUGUUGACUUGAAAGAAGGAAAGUUGACGUCUAUGAAAAGCCAAACUGUUACAUUUUCAUGGAUUUUUUUAUGCAUGUUGCAUUUAAUGCAUUACCUGAUAGAAUAUGGAAGCCCAUCACAGAGGUAAGCUUAUUUUUCAAGGAGUUAUGUUCUAGCACCUUGAGGGUGGAGAACCUAACUUACAUGGAGAAUAACAUUCGCGUAACUCUAAACAAGUUAGUGAAAAAUUUUCCUCUUGGUUUUUUUGACGUGACAGAACAUCUUCCAAUUCACCUUGUACAAGAGGAAUGGUUUGGAGGGCCAGUUCAAUGCAGAUGGAUGUAUCCAUUUGAGAGAUAAUUAAUGACUUUUAAUCAUUAAUUCUUAUGUGUUUCAUUUUUACAUUAUUCCAUCUAAAAAUUCUUAUGUGUUUGACUACCAUCGCCGCUUCUUGCUAGUGGAACACCCCUGAGUGGAAGAAGAAGAGUGAACAUGCAAAGUUAAAUAGAGCUUCUACUAAGGGUGGAGCUUUGCAUACUGGUGAAUCUAUCAGGUUUGCAGCCCAUCGUUUAAGAUUGGUAAUUUCAUUAUAAAAUAUUCUUAGUUUUAUAAGUAUGCAAAUUAAACAUAUACAUAUAUUAAUUUUCAGAAAAAGAAACGUGAGGGAGAUGUGACUUAUGCUGAUGUCUUUGCGGAGACCCAUAAAAGAAGAAGAAGGACGACACAAGAGAAGGAUGGGUCGAACCGCAUGCUUCAGAGACAUUUGUAUGAUCCCAACUCCAACACUAUAUUAUUUUUCCCUCUUGGUUUAUUUUAUUUAUAUAAUGUGUAUUAUUUUAUUUCAAGACAAGUAUCAUAUUGAUCUUGAUGUAUGGCAAUAAACUCAUCCUGAAGGAACUCAGCCGGCCCGAAGGAGAUUAUUGCAGUUUGGACACAGGCGGCAAGUGGCAUGAAUAAAGGUAUAGAUAUUUUGUAAUAAUCUAUUUUGGUAUUAGUUUGAAAGUUGUGUGAUUAUUUUCUUACUCCUUUUACUUUCUUUUCUUUAUUUCUCGUGAAAAUAACUAAAGGUCGAGUCUAUGGGAUUGGAGUACAGUCAUUCUCCAGUCGUCCAGCAUUAUUAUUCGUUGGUGUAAUGACCCGACCGGUCGUUUUGAGCUCUAGCGCGUCGCUCGGCAGUUUAAGGCCUUGGGUAGCUUCACUUCAUGUUUUAUGACUUGUACGCGUAGUCGGAAUCGAAUUUCGGGAAGUUCAGAGUUGAUUCUGAUGGAAAAUUCUAAAUUCGAAAGCUUUAAGUUGGAAGAAUUGACUAAGGUUUGACUUUUAAUUAAAUGACCUCAUAAUCUGGAUUUGAAGGCUCCAAUAGGUUCGUAUGAUGAUUUCGGACUUGGGCGUAUGUUCGGGUUGAGUAUCGGAUCGCCUGGGAGCAUUUCAGUGCUUAUUGUGGAAAGUUGGCAUUUUGAAGGUUUUAGAAUUUCCUAAGUUUGGUUUGAGGUGAAAUUUGGUGAUAUCGAUGUCUGUUUGGGGUUCCGAGCCUUGGAGUAGGUUCGUAUUGUGAUUUUUGACUUGUGUGUAAAGUUUGACGUCAUUCCGGAAUGUUUUGAUAUGAUUCAAACGUGUUUGUCGAAGUUUGAAAGUUGAAAGAAAUAUUUUUAUCAUCGAUUCAUGAUUUUUAUGUUAUUUGUGGUGCUUCGAGCCUUUGGAUAAGUUUGUAUAAGGUAUUGGGACUUGUUGGUAUGUUCGGACGGGGUCCCGAGGGGCUUGAGUGAGUUGCGAACCAUUUCUAGGCCAUUUUUAAUUCUUGAUUUUUGUCUAGAGCAGUGUACAUCGCGAUCUCGGACAUUGGAACACGUUUGCGAAGAGAAAACUGAGAGAAAGGGGUCUGUGAAUCGCGUUCGCGAAGAAGAAAUUUAAGCUACAUAGGGCUGACUUUGGAAACUCAUAUCUUACAAUUUACUAGGAAUAUGGAGAUGAUCCAAAUAUAAAAGUUGUAGCCUUGGUGUCUAGUUUUCAGAAAGUCAAACUAUUUGUCAUUUGGAAUUUUGUAAAACAUGUUAUGACUAUUAUACUAGAGGUUGUCUGGAGGAGUUGGGCAGCUUGUUCUUCGCGAUCGCGAAAGGCAAUUUUGAGCUGAGAAAAGUUGUGCUUCGCGAUCACGAAGCAUUUUCCGCUAUCACGAAGGGUAAAUACCUGGGCAGAAGCUAUAUUUUAGGGGUUUCGUAAAAAAGGAGAAAUUGAGGUUUUUUGUCUAAAGUUUCAUAGAGUGAAUUUUUGAGUUUUGAACGUCGAUUUGGAGUCGGAUUUGAGUGAAACUAGUAUGGUUGGAAUCGUAGUUGAAUGGGUUGUCGAAUUUUAUGAGUUUUGUCGGGUUCCGGGCUCGUGGGCCUGAGGAUUAACUUUAUUAACUUUUCGAGCGGAGUUGGGAAUUGGUAAGAAUUGAUUUAUUACGAGUUAGUGUAUAUUUUUAUUGGUUUGCACAUUGUUUGACUAAUUUUGGAGCGACGAGCAUCGAUUUGAGGUGUUAGAGUGGCAUUGGAGCCGGUUAUGGAACUUCAGAGCGAGGUAAGUCUCAUGUCUAACCCUGUGAGGGAAAAUUUACCUCGUAGGUGUUAUAUUCUUAUGUGCUACAUGUUGUGGGAGCUACACACGUAUGAGGUGACGAGUGUCCGUUCGUAUGCUAGAAUUCCUGAUUAUGUCCGGGUAGACUUAGGUUUACGCCAUGCUAUAAUUGUACUAUUUGAGUCAUCUUUGCUGGUUUAAUUCCUUUAUUUCGCGUUACAACUUGAUACUAGACUUGCAUAGGGUGAUAGACUCGCUAUUGUAGAGAUGUGAGAGCUACUUGAUAAUCCGCGAAAUAAUUUGUGCUUCCCUUAUGAAUUCCUCUCGCGUUUUGCGUUUUCAUCGCAAAGCUUUCCUUAAUGUUCAUAACUCACAUGUUUAUUCGUGAGUGGGGUCAAGGUCCCGUUAAAGCUUCUUACUCUAAUGGGAUCUGGCCGAUCGCCUCGGCAUGAUUAUGCACCACAUUCUUAUGGGAGCGGGCCAUUCGCCUCGGCAGUAUAAUAGAUGCAUAUAUGAUUUGUGCCUUUCGACCCUCGAUAGUGUACACAUUAUUAUGGGAUCGGGCCGUAUGCUUCGACAUUUCUAUAAAAUACUCUUAUGGGAGCGAGCUGUUCGCCUUGGCAGUGUCGUGUAUAAUAUUUGUUAAGAAACCAACGUAUCCGUAUGUUUUCUUGAUUUGAGUUGUGACGACCUUCUGGUGAGGUCCAUUUCAUAUAUAUUCUGGUUGAGGAGGUAACUGAUAAUUGAGAGCUUGAAUUUAUUGUUCAGAAGAGGAUUGUACCACGUACCUAUAUUUGCUUAUUACCCUACCAUAUAUUUGUUUACUGUAUUUGAGUUAUCUGACCACUAAUAAGUGUCGAUAUCGACCCAUCGUCACUACUUCUCCGGGGUUAGGAUAGAUACUUAUUGGGUACGUAUUGAUUUACGUACUCAUAUUACACUUGCUACACUUAUUGUGCAUGCAUAUAUAUAUAUAUAUAUAUAUAUAUAUAUAUAUAUAUAUGUUUGGUGGUCUUUUUGGCACAAAGGCACGGCUGUUGCAGGGACUUUAUGGUGAGUUGGAUUCCAUCUUACGAUCCGCAGCAUAUAGAGUCUCCAUCAGAGUUAUUUAUAUUCUCCUGUCUAACUUGUAUUCCAGACAGAUAUUGUAUUAUUAUUGUACUCCUUAGUAGAUACUCAUACACUUGUGACACCGGAUUUUGGGGGUUCCUACUCGAUGAUCAUUAUUGUAGUUCACGUAAUUAUUAUCAUUUUACCUUGUAAUUUAUAUUUUAUACAUAAAUUGGAAAAUAAAUUCACGGGUUUUCUACGAGUACCAGAUUUUACUCUACUUAUUUAAUGGAAUUCAUGAUUUCGAAAAUAAUAAAAUUAGUAACUAAGUUGAUUAAUCACCGUUGGCUUACCUGACGGUAGCGUUAGGCACCAUCACGACCUAUAGUAGAUUUUGGGUCGUGACAGCUGGUGCAUCGGUUUCCUAAGAAAACAUGGAAGUUAUGCUUCAAAGAAUGGAACAUGUCGCAAGAAUGGGACUCAACUCAGGCUUUGAUCCAAAAAUUGUUAAAAAAGAAAAGCAAGAAAGGCAGUCAAGCUGCAAUAGAGUCUGAGUCUGACUAGGAUUAGCUAUUUGAAUGUUUUAGAGUUGAAGCUAGAGACAUGUUUAAUUUAUGAAUUUGAGUUAGUAUUUUGAUAAUUGGUUGAUCAAAAUUAAUGUCGUUUGAUUAGUUUGUUGGAUUGUUAUAAAUAUUACUGUUCGUUUUGUAGUAAAUAUUGGAUUUGGAUAUUUAUACUAGGUGUUUGGUAGCUUGUUAGGUGUUUGGUUGGCUGUUUUAUUUGGCAUGUGGUAUAAUUAAAAAUACAACAGAAUUCUGCUAAAAAUUUUCAGAUUUGCGACUGAAUUAGUUGCAAAUUUAUUCAGAAAUUACCCAGAUUUGUGACUGGUUUGGUCGCAAAUUGAGAAUUUCUGAAUUUUUUUAAUUAAAAUUCAAAUGCGUCCUUUAUUUUUCAGUUUGCGAUGGAAUCCGUCGGAAAUUUUCGACUGGUUCGGUCGCAAAUAUUUUGCGACCACGUGUUUUCCGACCGACCUUUUUCGGUCGAAAAUCUGUCGUAUAAACAUGAUUUCUGACCGAUUUUUGACUAAUUUGACGGUCAGAAAUUGGCUUUUUUCUAAUAGUGUAUGGAUAUUAUAUAGCCCAUCUUCCCUUAUGAGUGCAUUUUCAAGGAUCUAAUACGAGUACGAUAACAUUUUAAAGAGUCCACACAAUACACGGUAAAAUUCAAAAAUAGCCAGAUUUACAAGUGGUAAUUGAAAAAUAGCCACAGUUUCAAAAGUAAUUAAAAUUUAGCCACUUCUCAUGUAAAGAUAAAUCUUAAUAAAAAUACUAUUCAAAAUUCAGAAAAUAUUCAAGCAUAAUAUACUGGAGUUCGAAUUUUUUACAUGUGAACUUCCAACAUAAUAUACUGGAGUUCCAGCAUAAUAUGUUGGAAGCUCAUACACAGGUGCUCCAAUCUUUAAUAUAUUAUGCUGGAACUUUCCAUGUGCUGGAUUCCAGCAUAAUAUGCUGGAAGUUCACACACAUGUACUCCAAUCUCCAGUAUAUUAUGCUGGAACUUUCCGUGUGCUGGAAUUCCAGCAUAAUAUGCUGGAAGUUCAUACACAGGUGCAUUAAUCUCUAGUAUAUUAUGGAGCACAUGUGAACUUCCAGCAUAAUAUGCUGGAAGUUCAUACAUAGGUGCUCCAAUCUCCAGUAUAUUAUGCUGGAACUUUCCGUGUGCUGGAUUCCAGCAUAAUAUGUUGGAAGUUCAAACACAGGUGCUCCAAUCUCUAAGUAUAUUAUGCCGGAACUUUCCGUAUGCUGGAAUUCUAGAGNNNNNNNNNNNNNNNNNNNNNNNNNNNNNNNNNNNNNNNNNNNNNNNNNNNNNNNNNNNNNNNNNNNNNNNNNNNNNNNNNNNNNNNNNNNNNNNNNNNNNNNNNNNNNNNNNNNNNNNNNNNNNNNNNNNNNNNNNNNNNNNNNNNNNNNNNNNNNNNNNNNNNNNNNNNNNNNNNNNNNNNNNNNNNNNNNNNNNNNNNNNNNNNNNNNNNNNNNNNNNNNNNNNNNNNNNNNNNNNNNNNNNNNNNNNNNNNNNNNNNNNNNNNNNNNNNNNNNNNNNNNNNNNNNNNNNNNNNNNNNNNNNNNNNNNNNNNNNNNNNNNNNNNNNNNNNNNNNNNNNNNNNNNNNNNNNNNNNNNNNNNNNNNNNNNNNUACAACAUAUAAUCCAUCUUCCCUUAUGAUAGUAAACGUAAGGCACAAACUUCACCAAAUAUAAAGGGUGAGAUUCAAAAAUAGCCAGAUUUACAAGUGGUAAUUGAAAAAUAGCCACAGUUUCAAAAGUAAUCGAAAUUUAGCCAUUUUUUAUGUAAAGAUAAAUGUGAACGAAAAUAUUGUUCAAAAUUCGAAAAAAUACUCCAGCAUAAUAUACUGGAGUUCGAAUUUUUUGCAUGUGAACUUCCAGUAUAAUAUACUAGAGUUCCAGUAUAUUAUGCUGGAACUCCAGUAUAUUAUGCUGGAGUUCCAGUAAUAUACCGAUCGAGCAUAAUAUAUUGGAAGUUCAUACACAUGUGCUCCAAUCUCUAGUAUAUUAUGUUGGAACUUUCCGUGUGCUGGAGUUCCAGCAUGUUGGAAGUUCAUACACAGGUGUAUCAAUCUCCAGUAUAUUAUGCUGGAACUUAUUGCAAUAAAAUAGUGAUUAUUUUUCAAUAAAUUUAUAAAUACUGACUAUAUUUUAAUUACCAGUCCGAAAACUGACUAUCACUUACUAUUUUUACAAAUGUAAGAGUCCACACAUUUAUGUUUCUCGUUUGGAGCAUGUUUGAUCAAUUUUUCAAGUUCAGCUUAUUUCGAACGUACAAGCAAGUUACUGUACGAAAUUGUAGCAGAAUAAUUAAUGAGAUGCAUACAUACACGAAUAUACAUAAAUCCAUAAUUACAUAUUUGCACCUUUCUUUACUAUUUUAACUAGUAUACAGUAUUACGUAUCUGACUUCUCAUUUAUUCUAAGCUAAACAAUAAAAGAAUAUCUUUCACUUCUAUAUACAACUUUAGCUCCUCUGCACUGUAUCUUUUUCCUAUACCUCUAUUCAAACCCCACAAGUUCUUGCCAAAAAUAAAAAAUAAAAAAUAAAAAAUUAAAUCUUCCUUUUGUUGAAAAAAUUAAAAUUUUAACCCAACAAAUUGCUAAAAUUAACUUUUAGACCCCACGAUUAAUCAUCUCCAUGUACUGCUGUAACGACUGUUCUCUCUGUAACCUCAUUUCUUCAUUGAACUUCGUUAUAAACGCUUCCACUCGCCGGUUCAACUCGUCCUGACUCGGCGACGGUUCAAGUAUGGUUUUCCUCUUGUUUUCAGUUUGAUGAACCGGGGAUUGACUUCCGUGAUUCUGCUGCCAUGUGUUCAGGUGCCUCGUGAGCGGCACGUGACGACCUUCUGUUAUCUUCUUCCAUGUACUCUCUAAUGUCUCAUGUCUCUUCACCCUCGCUACCCUCAGUGAUUUAACCCCUGUAAUUCCAAUUAUUUACAGAAUUAACCUUAAAAGUGUUUAAACUAACAAAAGAAAAAUGAUAUUUUAAAAAUAUAUGAGUUAAACAUACUACUAUAAUAAUUAUAUAACAAAAAAUAAAAAGAAUUAAACAAAUAUAAAAAGAUAUAUGAUUCAUAGUACAUAUUAAUAAGAAAAUAAUAUUCUUCUCUUUCAAUUUAAAUGACACUCUCAUUAUUAGUUCGUUUAAAAAAAAUAUACUUUUAUAAUUAAAAAUAAUUUAAUUUUAAAUUUUUUAUUUUACCUAUUUUAUUUAUAAUGAGAAAUUUUUAUAAUCAUAUAAUAUUACGGCACAAAAAAAUUUUUACCCCUUAAAUUUUUAGAAACAUAAGUUUCAUUUUUUUUUUUUUCUUAAAUUCCGUAUCGCACUUCAUCUAAAUUGAAAUCUUUUAAGGAGUAUUACACAAAAUGGAAAGAUAUGAAAGAGUAGUAAAUACGAGUAUAAAUUUUUGAAUCGUUUCUAAAAAUAUAUUACGCUCUCUCUCAAAUUAGAUGAUAUAUUUUUCUUUUUAGUCUGUUUAAAAUAAAUAAUAUAUUUUUAAAUUUAAAAAUAAAUUAACUUUAAACUUUUUAUUUUAUCUUUUUUAUAGUAAUACUAAGAAACUUUUAUAACUACAUAAAUAUUAUUUUCCCAUAAAGUUUUUAUCCUUAACUUUUAAGACAAUAAGUUAUAAAAGCGCUUUUUUUUUUUUUCCUUAAACCCGUCAAAAGUAUGGUUUAUGAGAAAUGUAUAUUUGUUACCUUCAGGAUUCAUUCUCGUAAGCGGUUUCCG
Molecule: long non-coding RNA, 11122 nt
Filed under: Nicotiana tabacum (common tobacco)
Lineage: Eukaryota; Viridiplantae; Streptophyta; Magnoliopsida; Solanales; Solanaceae
Description: long non-coding RNA (NTAB_LNC014073)
Source: RNAcentral